This 253-nucleotide ribosomal RNA is filed under the name uncultured bacterium. RNAcentral describes it as "partial 16S ribosomal RNA". It matches the Rfam family "Bacterial small subunit ribosomal RNA", at positions 524 to 776 of the family's 1533-position model. The record is from RNAcentral.
GACGUAGGGAGCGAGCGUUGUCCGGAUUCAUUGGGCGUAAAGCGCGCGUAGGCGGUUUGGUAAGUCGGAUGUGAAAUCCCGAGGCUCAACCUCGGGACGGCAUCCGAUACUGCCCGACUAGAGGUAGGUAGGGGAGAUCGGAAUUCCUGGUGUAGCGGUGAAAUGCGCAGAUAUCAGGAGGAACACCGGUGGCGAAGGCGGAUCUCUGGGCCUUACCUGACGCUGAGGCGCGAAAGCUAGGGGAGCAAACAGG